RNAcentral lists this ribosomal RNA (484 nucleotides) under uncultured bacterium. RNAcentral's name for it is "partial 16S ribosomal RNA". It matches the Rfam family "Bacterial small subunit ribosomal RNA", at positions 30 to 507 of the family's 1533-position model. The record is from RNAcentral.
AUUGAACGCUGGCGGCAGGCCUAACACAUGCAAGUCGAGCGGAUGAAGGGAGCUUGCUCCUGGAUUCAGCGGCGGACGGGUGAGUAAUGCCUAGGAAUCUGCCUUGUAUUUGGGGAUAACGUCCGUAAACGGGCGCUAAUACCGCAUACGUCCUGAGUGUGAAAGUGGGGGAUCUUCGGACCUCACGCUAUCAGAUGAGCCUAGGUCGGAUUAGCUAGUUGGUGGGGUAAAGGCCUACCAAGGCGACGAUCCGUAACUGGUCUGAGAGGAUGAUCAGUCACACUGGAACUGAGACACGGUCCAGACUCCUACGGGAGGCAGCAGUGGGGAAUCUUGGACAAUGGGCGAAAGCCUGAUCCAGCAAUGCCGCGUGUGUGAAGAAGGUCUUCGGAUUGUAAAGCACUUUAAGUUGGGAGGAAGGGCAGUAAGUUAAUACCUUGCUGUUUUGACGUUACCAACAGAAUAAGCACCGGCUAACUUCGUG